Molecule: long non-coding RNA, 1056 nt
Organism: Symsagittifera roscoffensis
Lineage: Eukaryota; Metazoa; Xenacoelomorpha; Acoela; Convolutidae
Exons: 3
Source: RefSeq, a predicted model, not a curated record
CUGGUAAAUACUUUGACCUCAUCAAUUCUCAAUUUUCGCGUUCUGAGUUUGUUAUCAAAUAAUGCAUAUUAAUGGGCUUUUUCGCUUUAUGCUUUUGUUAUUUUUAUGUUUCACAAAUAUUGUAUGCAUAACUUUUUCGGAAAAUGCCGAUUUCAAGGAAAGCUUAUCUCAGGAGAAAAAACGUUCAUUAAUAGUCAAUGGGUUUGACGCGCCGCUUGAGAGGCCGUUUUUUGCGUCUCUCACUUUUCGACGUGGGGAAAACCCGUGUGGUGCAUCUAUCGUGGCUGAGAACUGGCUGGUAACUGCUGCUCACUGUGUUUACUCGUCUGAUGCGCGUGAUAUUUUUGUAGAAAUUGGAUAUUUUGUGCUGGAUUCAAGAUACAACCAGCAGUAUAGAGUGGAAAAGAAAAUUCUUGCUAAUGGUUUUCGAAUGAGUGAGGAAUUUGUCCAUGACAUUGCACUUUUAAAGCUCCGCGCACCAAUUCCGAACCACCUCCGUAUUUUACCUUUAUGCGCUAGCCAUUUACCACCUUUUGAUGCGUCUCCUCAGCUUCUGGGCGCAUGUGGUAGGGGUUCAACCUCCAGAACCCAUUACAUACCAGCAAACGUCCUCCAAGAAACCUUCUUUUAUGAAAGCAUGUUUGAAUCAAACACGAAACCACACGAGCUUCGAUUGUGCCGAGAUGACAAUGUUUGUGUUGAAAGUGUAGCAGAAGGAUCUAAUAUGUGUCUUUUUGACGAUGGAAGUCCCCUCUAUGUUUUUGAGUGCGGAACUUUGAACCCAAAAUGUCUAUAUGGAGUUUUCAGUUUCUCAAGAGGUCGGGUGGAUACUCCAGGAGAGCUCUGUAACAAUGGAAGCUUCUUCACGAAUGUUCCUCGCUUUUAUCACUGGAUGAGCACAAUUAUCGAAGAUAAUUGAGAAACUACUUGUCACAACCUCUUUUCUAUCUCGCACUGAAGUUUCAUGGGAAGAAAAUGAUUGCAAUGGAUUAUUUGCGCAAAAAACUUAAUCCUUUCAAUCGGUUUUCAUGACCGAUCUAACAUGAAAACCGCGAU